AUACGGAGGUUGCGAGCGUUAAUCGGAAUUACUGGGCGUAAAGAGUACGUAGGCGGAUUGACCAGUCUGAUGUGAAAGCCCCGGGCUCAACCUGGGAACUGCAUUGGAUACUAUCAAUCUAGAGUACAGGAGAGGAGAGUGGAAUUUCCAGUGUAGCGGUGAAAUGCGUAGAUAUUGGAAGGAACACCAGUGGCGAAGGCGGCUCUCUGGACUGAUACUGACGCUGAGGUACGAAAGCGUGGGGAGCAAACAGGAUUAGAAACCCUAGUAGUCC
Molecule: ribosomal RNA, 274 nt
Filed under: uncultured bacterium
Lineage: Bacteria
Description: partial 16S ribosomal RNA
Rfam family: Bacterial small subunit ribosomal RNA
Source: RNAcentral